UGCUAGAGUUGGAAGGCGGUUUACUGGUUCCCUGGUGCACAGAAAGUGUGAGUUGGGGAGGAGGGUCAGGAAGAACUUGGGAUUUUGUACAGGGUAGCACCUGAACCAAAGCCACAGAGUUAAUGAAUCCAGUUUGCCCAGAACAGUGUUGACUCUCAUGUCGUCUGGCUACUUGGUUGUUACAUCAUAAAUGCUUAUGUGGCUCUUGCCGCUUGGACACCACAACAAUUCUACCUCUAGUCCUACAGAGGUCAGACAGAUGUUCCCUACUUAAAAAGUCAGGAGGACUUUCGGUGGCCCUAAGGGCCAGGGCACCCACCGCCUCUCUCUCUGGCCCUGGAAGAUCUUCAAGCUAGCGAUCGUCUCAAAUCUGGGUGAUUCUAGAACAAAGACAGAGUUGCAUCCCAUUUUAACCCAGCUUGAGCAGGCACAGAACUUUGGAACCAGGCCUUACUCCUGUCCAGGUGCUCCUGGAUUGCUUUGCCUCUGAACUUUUCCUUUCUGACCUUGCCCUUUGGAGUCCUCUAAUUCAUCUCAUUCUUGCCUUUCUGGAUUGAAAGAAUAGAAGAAAGAAGAUCAGAUCUGACGAGUUUCGCCUGUUCUUGAAACCAGUGCACAUGGACUCACCCUCCACUUUGUUUUUGCUGAAUUAUUUUAAAGCAAACCCCGGAUCGCAUGUUAUUUCAUCUCUACAUAAUUUGUAAGUAAUUCUGAAAACAUUUUCUUACAUAAUCACAAAGCCAAUGAGAUUAUGUAAAAAGUCUUCCUAACAAGCUGCUGUGAUUAUCACCACUUUCCAGGAAUCAAGGAGCCCUUUGUUUUGCACAC
Molecule: long non-coding RNA, 828 nt
Organism: Lontra canadensis (Northern American river otter)
Lineage: Eukaryota; Metazoa; Chordata; Mammalia; Carnivora; Mustelidae
Exons: 4
Source: RefSeq, a predicted model, not a curated record